CCCGCCUGAGAACUAUAAGCACAAGCUAGAAACUCAAAGGGUCUGGCGGCACUUUAAAUCAUCCAGAGGAGCCUGUCCUAUAAUCGAUAAUCCCCGCUAAACCUCUCCUUCUUUUGCAAUUAUUCAGCCUGUAUACCGCCGUCGUCAGCUUUCCCCAACAAGUUUAAUAGUAAGCAAAACUGGUUUUACCCAAAACGCCAGGUCAAGGUGCAGCAUACAAGAAGGUAAGAGAUGGGCUACAUUUCCUGUCCAGGAAAUACGAAUAGUACAUUGAAAUAUGCACAUUGAAGGAGGAUUUAGCAGUAAGUAAAAAAUAGAGUGUUUU
RNAcentral lists this ribosomal RNA (325 nucleotides) under Hypsolebias antenori. RNAcentral describes it as "partial 12S ribosomal RNA". It matches the Rfam family "Bacterial small subunit ribosomal RNA", at positions 868 to 1360 of the family's 1533-position model. The record is from RNAcentral. Lineage: Eukaryota; Metazoa; Chordata; Actinopteri; Cyprinodontiformes; Rivulidae.